UACGUAGGGGGCAAGCGUUAUCCGGAAUCACUGGGCGUAAAGGGUGCGUAGGCGGUCGAUCAAGUCAGAAGUGAAAGGCAAUGGCUCAACCAUUGUAAGCUUUUGAAACUGAUUGACUUGAGUGCAGGAGAGGUAAGUGGAAUUCCUAGUGUAGCGGUGAAAUGCGUAGAUAUUAGGAGGAACACCAGUGGCGAAGGCGACUUACUGGACUGUAACUGACGCUGAGGCACGAAAGCGUGGGGAGC
RNAcentral lists this ribosomal RNA (245 nucleotides) under uncultured bacterium. RNAcentral's name for it is "partial 16S ribosomal RNA". It matches the Rfam family "Bacterial small subunit ribosomal RNA", at positions 524 to 769 of the family's 1533-position model. The record is from RNAcentral.